UUUUACUGGGCAUCUCCUGAGCCUAGGCAAUAGCUGUAGGGUGACUUCUGGAGCCAUCCUCGUUUCCCCGCCCCUCAAAAGAAGCGGAGAUUUAACGGGGACGUGUGGUCAGAGCUGGGGAAAUGGGCCCGCGAGCCAGGCCGGCGCUUCUCCUCCUGAUGCUUUUACAGACCGCGGUCCUGCAGGGGCGCUUGCUGCGUUCACACUCUCUGCACUACCUCUUCAUGGGUGCCUCAGAGCAGGACCUUGGUCUUUCCUUGUUUGAAGCUUUGGGCUACGUGGAUGACCAGCUGUUCGUGUUCUAUGAUCAUGAGAGUCGCCGUGUAGAGCCCCGAACUCCAUGGGUUUCCAGUAGAACUUCAAGCCAGAUGUGGCUGCAGCUGAGUCAGAGUCUGAAAGGGUGGGAUCACAUGUUCACUGUUGACUUCUGGACUAUUAUGGAAAAUCACAACCACAGCAAGGGUAUGUGGACAGGGGGCCUCACCUUCCUGAGGUUGUCAGAGCUUUUCAUCUUUCCAUGCAUCUUGAAGGAAACAGCUGGAAGUCUGAGGUCUUUUGGGAGCAGGGAAGAGGGAAGGAAUUUGCUUCUUGAGAUCAUUUGGUCCUUGGGGAUGGUGGAAAUAGGGACCUACUUCUUUGGUUGCAGUAACAAGGCUGGGGAUUUUUCCAGAGUCCCACACCCUGCAGGUCAUCCUGGGCUGUGAAAUGCAAGAGGACAACAGUACCGAGGGCCACUGGAAGUACGGGUACGAUGGGCAGGACCACCUUGAAUUCUGCCCUGACACGCUGGACUGGAGAGCAGCAGAACCUGGGGCCUGGCCCACCAAGCUGGAGUGGGAAAGGCACAAGAUUCGGGCCAGGCAGAACAGGGCCUACCUCGAGAGGGACUGCCCUGCACAGCUGCAGCAGUUGCUGGAGCUGGGGAGAGGUGUUUUGGACCAACAAGUACCUCCUUUGGUGAAGGUGACACAUCAUGUGACCUCUUCAGUGACCACUCUACGGUGUCGGGCCCUGAACUACUACCCCCAGAACAUCACCAUGAAGUGGCUGAAGGAUAGGCAGCCAAUGGAUGCCAAGGAGUUCGAACCUAAAGACGUAUUGCCCAAUGGGGAUGGGACCUACCAGGGCUGGAUAACCUUGGCUGUACCCCCUGGGGAAGAGCAGAGAUAUACGUGCCAGGUGGAGCACCCAGGCCUGGAUCAGCCCCUCCUUGCGAUCUGGGGUAUGUGACUGAUGAGAGCCAG
RNAcentral lists this small RNA (1244 nucleotides) under Pongo abelii (Sumatran orangutan). RNAcentral describes it as "retained intron". Lineage: Eukaryota; Metazoa; Chordata; Mammalia; Primates; Hominidae. The record is from RNAcentral.